This 296-nucleotide long non-coding RNA is filed under the name Astyanax mexicanus (Mexican tetra). Its description in RNAcentral is "lncRNA (ENSAMXG00005024587.1)". Lineage: Eukaryota; Metazoa; Chordata; Actinopteri; Characiformes; Acestrorhamphidae. The record is from RNAcentral.
AGGCUCGACCUCCGCUCACCUGUGACAGGGAUGUGUGACUUGUAGUACACAACAAGUACAAGUGAAGGAGUGAAUUUGGGAGGAGACUCGCCAACCUGUACAUUUACCUAAGGACGCCUGUACAAACCCGUGGAUACAAACAUUAAACCACAGAACUGAGAUCUGUGUUUGCCUGUAAGGCACAGAAGCCCUGACACAUCUGCUCUGAGCUGAAGUACGCAGCUCUGUGAGCGAGAGGAGAUGAGCAGAGCGAGAGAAUCCGCGGCUAUUGUGUGUCAAUCACAGUGUGUGUCAUG